CCUACGGGUGGCAGCAGUGAGGAAUAUUGGUCAAUGGCCGGAAGGCUGAACCAGCCAUGCCGCGUGAAGGUCAGUGCCCUAUGGGCGUUAAACUUCUUUUGUGCGGGAGCAAUAAUGGUCACGUGUGUCCAGACGAGAGUACCGUACGAAUAAGCAUCGGCUAACUCCGUGCCAGCAGCCGCGGUAAUAAGGGGGAUGCAAGCGUUAUCCGGAUUUACUGGGUGAAAAGGGAUGGUAGACGGCUUGCCAAGUGCGAUGUGAAAGGCCGGGGCUCAACCCCGGGACUGCAUUGGAACCUGGCAUGCUGGAGUGCCGGAGAGGCAAGCGGAAUUCCUAGUGUAGCGGUGAAAUGCGUAGAUAUUAGGAGGAACACCGGUGGCGAAGGCGGCUUGCUGGACGGUAACUGACGUUGAGGCGCGAAAGCGUGGGGAGCAAACAGGAUUAGAUACCCGAGUAGUC
Molecule: ribosomal RNA, 459 nt
Filed under: uncultured bacterium
Lineage: Bacteria
Description: partial 16S ribosomal RNA
Rfam family: Bacterial small subunit ribosomal RNA
Source: RNAcentral